GACGAACGCUGGCGGCGUGCUUAACGCAUGCAAGUCGAACGGAAAGGCCCUGCUUUUGUGGGGUGCUCGAGUGGCGAACGGGUGAGUAACACGUGGGUAACCUGCCCUUGACUUUGGGAUAACUUCAGGAAACUGGGGCUAAUACCGGAUAGGAGCUCCUGCUGCAUGGUGGGGGUUGGAAAGUUUCGGCGGUUGGGGAUGGACUCGCGGCUUAUCAGCUUGUUGGUGGGGUAGUGGCUUACCAAGGCUUUGACGGGUAGCCGGCCUGAGAGGGUGACCGGCCACAUUGGGACUGAGAUACGGCCCAGACUCCUACGGGAGGCAGCAGUGGGGAAUAUUGCACAAUGGGCGGAAGCCUGAUGCAGCAACGCCGCGUGCGGGAUGACGGCCUUCGGGUUGUAAACCGCUUUCGCCUGUGACGAAGCGUGAGUGACGGUAAUGGGUAAAGAAGCACCGGGUAACUACGUG
RNAcentral lists this ribosomal RNA (468 nucleotides) under uncultured bacterium. RNAcentral's name for it is "partial 16S ribosomal RNA". It matches the Rfam family "Bacterial small subunit ribosomal RNA", at positions 28 to 507 of the family's 1533-position model. The record is from RNAcentral.